GGAGCCGAGGGGGCCCCUUGCCCUGUGUUAUUACCCCUCCCAGGCCUUGUCCUGUGGGGACACGACAGGACCCUAGCCUGGUCCCUGCCUGCCUGCCUUAGGGCCCCCCUGGCCUGGGCGCCUCCUCUUCUCUGUUCCCCUGCCCUCCCAGCUUGGGCUCCACGCUGCAGAGGGAGGAGGGAGAGGGAGGAGGGAAAACGGUGGAGGGAGGUGGGAGGCAGGAGGCGGAAGGAAGGAGCAGGAGGCAGGAGGAGGUCAGUGUGGCAGCCAUUGGUAUGCGAGGCCCGGCCUCAGCCCCUCUGCUCCCUCCGCGGCCCAGCCUUUCUGCUCAGCUCUUUAAGAAUCCCUCCUCGGCAGCGGCAGCGUGCUGGUUGCUGGGCAACCCCAUCGCGCCCCGCCCCCUGCCGCUGGCGCUGGCCCUCUUCCCCUCCCCCUCCUCCCGCAGCUCCUCCCAGUGCCCCCAGCCUCAGCGGCGCUGGUGCUCCUAGCUCAGAACCUGCCAGGCCUGGCUGCUGGGGGCACCUGUGCCCGGCAGCCCCCAUUUGCUUCCACCUGCCACAGACUCUGCACCAUCCAGAAGGCCCAGUCUCUCUCCUGGAGGCCCUUCCCAGCCCACCCUGCGCAGCUGGCCUCGCCCCCACCCCCCUCUCGGACCCAUGCCCAUGAGCUGCUCGUCACACAGCCCUCCCUACCCUGGCUGAGGCUGGUGUCUCCACAGGGCUGUCUUUCAGGACACAGUUCACAUCUCCUUCCUGAACUUGGGAUGUGUGUAACAGGAAGCAAACACAACGCCAGAGAAAAAAUCAGCCACACCCGGAUCUUAGAGAUGUGGACAUGUUGGCCGGUAGAUGAAAAACGCAGUCAUAGAAAUCAUAAGCAAUCACCAACGAGCUGAGUGCUACAAAACAGAAGUGGAGGAGGGAGACAGAAGAAGGUGACCUAAUCGGGAAGGUGGGGUUAGAAGCUGGGCAUGGUGGCGGCACCUGCAAUUCCAGCUACUCGGGAGGCUGAGGUG
This is a long non-coding RNA of Homo sapiens (human), 1015 nucleotides long. RefSeq lists it as uncharacterized. The transcript is spliced from 3 exons. The record is from RefSeq and is a predicted model, not a curated record. Lineage: Eukaryota; Metazoa; Chordata; Mammalia; Primates; Hominidae.